UGUCUGCUACCCUCAGGUAUGGUGGGAAAUGAUGUCUCAACACAAUGCUGAAGUAGGUUCAACUACCAAUCUUCUUUAUGUGAAAAGGGGUAGCAUCUUGUCAUUUGCCAGGGAAUGGCUGUAGCUUAGUGGUAGAGCAUCUGCUUUGCAUGUAGAAGAUCUCAGGUUCAAUCCAUAGCACCUUCAAGCAAGGCUGGAAAUGCCCCCUCCUUUUAAAACCCUUGGAGUGCUGCUGCCAUUCAGUAUAGAGAAUACUGAGCUAGUUGAACCAGUUAUAUCAAUUAGCUUCCUAUAUUCUUUUAGGGAAGGUCCCUAGGCUCCAUCAGGAUUUAGCAUGGUCUGGCAACCCCAGACAGACUAGGAAGAGAAGGAAGAAGGAGCAGAUGGUGUGGUAGUGGGAGGCUGGCAUCCAAGGAUGGAGGAGAGAGGCCCUCUCCUUGUGUCAGAGCAAUCUGGCUCUCCACUCCACCCCUCUGGCAGAACACAAAACCUUAUCAGGGUGGAGGACUUAUCAGGGAGGGUGGAGGAGCUGAACAGGAGGUGGCAGUGGCAAUGCUGGAGGCAAAGGGACAGUACAGUCAUGUCACUGAGAACCAGGCACUGUCUUAGUAGGUGUGAUCAGAUGCAUCUGGCAAGAUGAAGUGUACUCACAGAAGACUUAUAGGACAAGAGAGUCCCAUGAGUUCACCCCACCUUGUCUUUAAAAGCUUGGCAGGAGGGGCAUCUUCAUAGCUUCCAUCUGGUUAUGAAUCUCUUACUUUGCUAAUGUACUUUGAAAUCUUGACUUCCAGACCUUGUACUUGCUGCUGAGCAUGUACUGCAAUUAGUCUGAAUAAAUAUAUCUUCCUUCCUUAAAUGAAAAAAAGAGUCCAUGUUAUGUUUUAGGGUGGGAGCCUGACAGAAGGGUGUAGCUCUGUAGCAGAGCACCAACUUUGUAGAAUAACCAGCGUCAUAUAACCAACAUGCUUAAGUCUAAUUAAUGCAUGAAGGGGUUAAGACUAUAGAGCAAGUUAUGUUUGAGGAGGUCUGAGCUGGUUGCUGCAGCUCAGACUGCGUGGCUCUUAUAAGCCACUCUUGAGUUCCUAUACCAAUAAUUUAGGAACUUUUACCACUGUAACCAAUCCAUGUUUUACUGCAUGUGCAACUGUUUCUGAAUGCUGUAUAGAAAGACACAUGAAACUGACCUUUGGAGAGUUUGUAAGUAAAACAAUGUUAGUUUACCAAACGCGUGGUCUUUUUCUAUAAGAGAAGAAGGAAGUUUUAGAACCCACAAGGGUAUAUCUUAAAGGUCUAACGGCCUAUAUUUUCAUGCAUUACUUUGUUGCAUAUUUUCUGAUUUAAAAUCUCUGCUGGGGUUCUCUCACCAAAGAGCAUUUGCACCAAACGUGGAUCUUGGCAUCCAUGAAUUCUCUUUUUUAUACUUAUUUUGUUCCUUGCAACCAACAGAAUUUGCAUGAAUAAGGUCUCAGCUCAAUACCUGGCAUUUCCAGGUAGGACUGGCAAUGCCCCUUGUCAGAAACCUCAGAUAGCUGUUGCCGCCAGUGUACACAACAUGGAGCUAGAUGGACCAAUGUUCUCAUUUGGUCUUAGGCAGGUUCCAGUGUUUGCUUCAGGCAGAAAAAAUUCAUUGGGCUGGCUCUGCUCUCCUUCUGCAAGUUCUUGGCAGUCCACAAACCAUACCAGUAGUUAAAAGUUGUCUUAAGAUCCCAUCCGCUUUCUCUGGUACCGGAUCCUACUGUGCAACUUGCCUCUGGCCAUCCGCAUUUUCGCAGAUAUUUCAUUAGUGUUCCGGCAAUGACACUAACUUGCUAAUGAUCCCUUAACAUUUAAUAAACACAGCCCAGGAGUUUUAUAACCUGUUAGCUUGUGAGUGGCGGUAAUUAGGCACAAUAAUGAUAAAUAAUUAAGGACUAAUUACACAAAAUCAGUAAUUUCAUUUUCCAGCAGAGCGCACAUUUUUUUCCUGUUCAUUUGCUCUGCUGAUUGGGGGGUCCAUCUGUGGUUCUAUUUCCCCUUGUUUGUCAUUGGAUGGAGAGUCCCUGGUCCUUGCUGCUUUACGGGGGAGAAAUAAGAUGGAAAGUGUUCAAUUAUGGAGGCAAUUGUCCAAUUCAUCUCAAAAGAGAAGUUGCAGCAAGGCUAUUGUUAGGCAUGAGUUUGGUGAAGGGAAAAAAAGCAGAGUUGUAAAAGGGUUUUAAUUCCUUACAUAGCCAGAGGGCUCAUGAACACCAAACAUGAGGCUGGAGGAAGCUCUCUAUUCAACCCUGGAAGUAAGCUCCGUUUUUCUUAAGUUCUGAAACCCCUCUUCAGUGCAAAGAAUGUUAACAAGCUGGAAAUAAGGCCGAAAUGAGCAGGAGGGAAAAUGUCAAAAGAAUGGAGGAACAAAAAAUCAUGCCUGGAAAGGUGUCCAAUCAAGAUGAAAUGAGAUUGGGAGUAUAUAUUUGUGCCAUGAAGAAGAGCUUAUGGAGGCAGAUGUGCCAGUGGUGGUGAGG
Molecule: non-coding RNA, 2489 nt
Organism: Podarcis lilfordi (Lilford's wall lizard)
Lineage: Eukaryota; Metazoa; Chordata; Lepidosauria; Squamata; Lacertidae
Source: the annotation of a GenBank genome assembly